Molecule: long non-coding RNA, 2136 nt
Organism: Oncorhynchus tshawytscha (Chinook salmon)
Lineage: Eukaryota; Metazoa; Chordata; Actinopteri; Salmoniformes; Salmonidae
Source: Ensembl
CUCCAAUCAGAUGAUGGAGAUAUAUAUCGUCAUCCUCCAAUCAGAUGAAGGAGAUAUAUAUGACGUCAUCCUCCAAUCAGAUGAUGGAGAUAUAUAUGAAGUCAUCCUCCAAUCAGAUGAUGGAGAUAUAUAUGACGUCAUCCUCCAAUCAGAUGAUGGAGAUAUAUAUGACGUCAUCCUCCAAUCAGAUGAUGGAGAUAUAUAUGACGUCAUCCUCCAAUCAGAUGAUGGAGAUAUAUAUGACGUCAUCCUCCAAUCAGAUGAUGGAGAUACGCGGAACUAUUCAACGCUGUCACGAAACACUUCGUCAAACAUUUGCCUUCGCUCUUAAAACCUGGUAUUUUUUUCUCCUUCCACUUUAUCUGUUCAGGUAUUUUUCCAUUUAGCUUUAGACAUUUUGUUCACAAGACUAACUACAGGCAGGAAAAAGGUUAGCGUGUUGGCUACAAAUCAUUCAUCUGGCAAGACAUUAGAAUAAUCAGAAGGCAUAGACAAAAGUACAUAACAAUCAUCGACCACAUUGUCCAUCUCUACAGAGCACAUUAUCCAUCUCUACAGAGCACAUUAUCCAUCUCUAUAGAACACAUUAUCCAUCUCUACAGAGCACAUUAUCCAUCUCUAUAGAACACAUUAUCCAUCUCUACAGAGCACAUUAUCCAUCUCUACAGAGCACAUUAUCCAUCUCUACAGAGCACAUUAUCCAUCUCUAUAGAACACAUUAUCCAUCUCUACAGAGCACAUUAUCCAUCUCUACAGAGCACAUUAUCCAUCUCUACAGAGCACAUUAUCCAUCUCUAUAGAGCACAUUAUCCAUCUCUACAGAGCACAUUAUCCAUCUCUAUAGAGCACAUUAUCCAUCUCUAUAGAGCACAUUAUCCAUCUCUACAGAGCACAUUAUCCAUCUCUAUAGAACACAUUAUCCAUCUCUACAGAGCACAUUAUCCAUCUCUAUAGAACACAUUAUCCAUCUCUACAGAACACAUUAUCCAGCUCUAUAGUAGCUGUGUCCAGCUGUCAUCUGUACAGCCGUUUCCAACACACCUAGUCUGUGUCCAAAUGGCACCCUAUUCUCUACGUAGUGCACUACUUUUGAAGAGGGCCAAUAGGGCUCUGGUCUAAAGUAGUGCACUAUGUAGGGAAUAUGGAGCCAUUUUGGAUGCUCCGCAACAACCCCAUGAUGGUAUUGAGGACAUUCACUACAGUAUCUAUUCUCUUCUGAUUCAAAACCAACCAACCAGCGUUCCAGUUUGCUUCAAACAAAGAAGAAGGGUGAACCACCCCACCCAACCCAGGCACAACCCAGGCUUAGGCACAACCCAGGCUCAGAUACAGCUGAUGUUCACAUACCCCAGCCAACCCAGGCUCAGGUACAACCCAGUCUCAGGUACAACCCAGUCUCAGGUACAACCCAGGCUCAGGUACAACCCGGUCUCAGGUACAACCCGGUCUCAGGUACAACCCAGUCUCAGGUACAACCCGGUCUCAGGUACAACCCAGUCUCAGGUACAACCCAGUCUCAGGUACAACCCAGUCUCAGGUACAACCCAGGCUCAGACACAGCUGAUGUUCACAUAUUACCUUGUUUUUAUUUCCCCUGUUGUCUGUCCUCCUCAGAAGGAGAGAUUGAGUUUCACAGACAAAGUACCCAACCUCUGGUUCUGGUAUGGAAUCAGCUUCAUCGUCACAGUAACUACAACUGUUAUUAUUAUUAUGAUUAUAUACCAGUUUCACUCUAUGUUGUUAUUGGCCUAUGGCAAAUAGGCUGUUUGGUGUUUAGCCUCGGACAUGCGUCCUAAAAGGCACCCUAUUCCCUAUAUACAGUGCACUACUUUUGACCCGGGCCUGUAUAUAGUGUACUAGUGUCUGGGCCCUUGUAGUGCACUACAUAGGGAAUAGGGUGCCAUUUGGGACAUACCUUGGUUAUUGUACUGGGCACAAGAUACAGAAAGACAACGGUAUCUGGUGUAGUAGUUGUUGUUAGUGAAGCUGGCUGCCGUGGCUGGACAGGAGCACCCGGUGGAACAACAGCUAGCCCACCGUUGCUGUUCUCCUCUUGUUACCCUUGAUGUGGGUCGUGGCUUUGGGGUGGACGUAUUGGGGAGUCUUAAAUGUUUCCUCAGCUAGUCUCUACCUGGG